RNAcentral lists this ribosomal RNA (59 nucleotides) under Escherichia coli. RNAcentral's name for it is "partial 16S ribosomal RNA". RNAcentral also lists the same sequence under 2 other names. Lineage: Bacteria; Pseudomonadati; Pseudomonadota; Gammaproteobacteria; Enterobacterales; Enterobacteriaceae. The record is from RNAcentral.
UUAAAUUGAAGAGUUUGAUCAUGGCUCAGAUUGAACGCUGGCGGCAGGCCUAACACAUG